Ribosomal RNA from Salmo trutta (river trout), 119 nucleotides. Lineage: Eukaryota; Metazoa; Chordata; Actinopteri; Salmoniformes; Salmonidae. The record is from Ensembl.
GUUUACGGCCAUACCAGCCUGGGUACGCCCGAUCUCGUCUGAUCUCGGAAGCUAAGCAGGGUCGGGCCUGGUUAGUACUUGGAUGGGAGACCGCCUGGGAAUACCAGGUGCUGUAAGCA